UUUACCGUGAAAAAAUUAGAGUGUUCAAAGCAUGCAGAUCCAAUUUUCUGCCACCGAAUACAUUAGCAUGGGAUAAUAGGAAUAGGACCCUGUCCUCCUAUUUUCAGUUGGUUUUGGCAGCGCGAGGACUAGGGUAAUGAUUAAUAGGGAUAGUUGGGGGCAUUAAUAUUUAAUUGUCAGAGGUGAAAUUCUUGGAUUUAUGAAAGAUUAACUUCUGCGAAAGCAUCUGCCAAGGAUGUUUUCAUUAAUCAAGAACGAAAGUUAGGGGAUCGAAGACGAUCAGAUACCGUCGUAGUCUUAACCAUAAACGAUGCCGACCAGCGAUUAGGAGACGUUGAAUACAAAACACCACCAUCGGUGCGGUCAUCCUUGGCGUUGGUCUUCAAAAGCCAGCGCGGGGGUGGCUUAGCCCGGUGGCACCGGUGAAUGACUCCCCUA
This 438-nucleotide ribosomal RNA is filed under the name Acanthamoeba genotype T4. Its description in RNAcentral is "SSU rRNA". It matches the Rfam family "Eukaryotic small subunit ribosomal RNA", at positions 751 to 1082 of the family's 1831-position model. The record is from RNAcentral. Lineage: Eukaryota; Discosea; Longamoebia; Acanthamoebidae.